Molecule: ribosomal RNA, 252 nt
Filed under: uncultured bacterium
Lineage: Bacteria
Description: partial 16S ribosomal RNA
Rfam family: Bacterial small subunit ribosomal RNA
Source: RNAcentral
UACGGAGGAUGCGAGCGUUAUCCGGAUUUAUUGGGUUUAAAGGGUGCGCAGGCGGCACGGCAAGCCGGCGGUCAAAUCGCGGGGCUCAACCCCGCCCAGCCGUCGGAACUGCCGGGCUAGAGUGGGCGAGAAGUGCGCGGAAUGCGUGGUGUAGCGGUGAAAUGCAUAGAUAUCACGCAGAACUCCGAUUGCGAAGGCAGCGCACCGGCGCCCUACUGACGCUCAGGCAUGAAAGCGUGGGUAUCGAACAGG